RNAcentral lists this ribosomal RNA (460 nucleotides) under uncultured bacterium. RNAcentral's name for it is "partial 16S ribosomal RNA". It matches the Rfam family "Bacterial small subunit ribosomal RNA", at positions 338 to 795 of the family's 1533-position model. The record is from RNAcentral.
CCUACGGGUGGCAGCAGUGAGGAAUAUUGGUCAAUGGGCUUACGCCUGAACCAGCCAAGUCGCGUGAGGGAAGACUGCCCUAUGGGUUGUAAACCUCUUUUGUCAGGGAGCAACGCCGGCUACGUGUAGCCGGACUGAGAGUACUUGAAGAAAAAGCAUCGGCUAACUCGGUGCCAGCAGCCGAGGUAAUAGGGAGGAUGCGAGCGUUACCCGGUUUUAUGGGGUUUAAAGGGUGCGUAGGCGGAAUGCCAAGUCAGCGGUAAAAUCGCGGGGCUAAACCUCGCUCUGCCGUUGAAACUGGCGGUCGUGAGUAGGCGAGAAGUAUGCGGAAUGCGUGGUGUAGCGGUGAAAUGCAUAGAUAUCACGCAGAACUCCGAUUGCGAAGGCAGCAUACCGGCGCCCAACUGACGCUGAAGCACGAAAGCGUGGGUAUCGAACAGGAUUAGAUACCCGUGUAGUC